Molecule: unclassified non-coding RNA, 361 nt
Filed under: uncultured Leotiomycetes
Lineage: Eukaryota; Fungi; Ascomycota; Leotiomycetes
Description: sequence contains ITS2
Rfam family: 5.8S ribosomal RNA (bases 1-154)
Source: RNAcentral
AACUUUUAACAAUGGAUCACUUGGUUCUAGCAUCGAUGAAGAACGCAGCGAAAUGCGAUCAGUAAUGUGAAUUGCAGAAUUCAGUGAAUCAUCGAAUCUUUGAACGCACAUUGCGCCCGCUGGUAUUCCGGCGGGCAUGCCUGUUCGAGCGUCAUUAUGAUCAAUCAAGCUCUGCUUGGCUUUGGGGUCUGCUGUACCAGCGGCUCUUAAAAUUAAUGGCGGUGCCGUCAACCCUAAGCGUAGUAAUUCUCCUCGCUAUGGGGCUUAGUCGUUUGCCUGCUAAAACUCACAACUUCUUUAGGUUGACCUCGGAUCAGGUAGGGAUACCCGCUGAACUUAAGCAUAUCAAUAAGCGGAGGCU